ACAGCCCCUCUGUACCAGGGCCCGAGGAGCCAGCUUCCCAGAAGUCCAUGGAUUAGGAAGGUCUGUUGGGGCUGCUUCAGGAGCUGCCAGGGAACAACUCCCUUUUGUUUUGCUGUCUAGCAUGUGACCAGAAUGCUGCCAGCUAAUUUUAACCCCACCAAAGUACUGCUGGAAAAAAAAAAAACACAAAAAACAAACAAACAAAAAAAACCCCUAUCUUGCAUCUGGAGAGAGGAACGCAGUGGGCUGGAGAAAAGCUUUUUCAGCCUGUGUUCCUUCCUGUUUCAGUUUCCAGACUUGCAUUAUCGGUAACCUGAAAAAUGAUGAGUUUCACCAAAUUCCUGGAUAUUGCACAAGAGGACAAUGAGUCUAUUUCGGGUGCUGUGAUUGUGUCUGGCACAGACCCUGGAAGCUAUUGUUUUCGGGAGGGAGAACGCUUUGGGGUUUCCUGGUGCUUUCCUUCUAGGGUCUCAAAGCCCCAAAUGCCCCAGGAAUUAAUGGAGGACUUCGUGGGGUUCCUCCCCCUGGAUGCAUUCCCACGGCGGUUAAUUGUUGCUGUCCGGCUGGGUGGCCGAUGGCGCUAGUGAAAAGGUACAGAAUCUCAGGAGCCAGGAAAUGAAGUGGUUUGGGCAAGACAGCGGGCAGCUAGCUCGGCAGCUGCUGGCCAGCCGUUCUGAAACCAGGUAGUGAGAUGGUGUCAUUACCCCGAGGGUCUACGGUGCAGUCCCAGAAGGUCACAUGAUGGCGACGAGAGCAAGCGAGGGGAGAGGCCCCAGCGGAUGCCGCCGCACUCCCGGCCACCAGGCGCGCGUGGGGGCCGUUGGUCUGACAGCUGCUGAGGGCUUCGGCUGCCUGAAAAGCCAUUUGCUCUGGCCUGCCCUGUCUGGCCAACUUCUAUGUAUUUAAAGGAUCCUCGCUGGUCUCUGAGCACCGCCCCCCCAUCUCCAUCUGAAUGGUCAGGCGCAGCGACCCUCUCUGGGAGGGCCAGGAGCCUCCCCGGAGACCUUCAGUCCCUCAUCUGCCUCCCCACGGCUGUCGUAACCUGCACAGUAGUGGAGAUCGGCUGGCAAUUCCUAAAUUAAGGUUCUGUUUACUCUGCUGUUCCAAAGGCUUGUUUUGAGCAAGAUGUUGUGCUUUAAUUAAAAAGACGAGAGAGCUCAUGAGUAAGUGAAAAUAUUUUUGAAUCUUCACAGAAAUGUCUGAAUUGGGUUUCUUGUGUUUCACAGUGAGGGGGGGUCAGGCUGGUCAGCACUUUUAUCUGGGGGACCACUGAAAACUCGUGCUAUAAGCUGACAACGGGCUCUUCUGCACAGUAGACUUGGGGGGGUACCCUAAGUCAAAAAUGCGUCCCUGCUGCUUCGGCAGGGUUAGCCGGCAUCCACGUGUAGUGAGGACACAUUCCUCCUUUACCUUCCCAGCCAGAGGCUUCC
RNAcentral lists this long non-coding RNA (1430 nucleotides) under Zalophus californianus (California sea lion). RNAcentral's name for it is "lncRNA (ENSZCAG00015009851.1)". Lineage: Eukaryota; Metazoa; Chordata; Mammalia; Carnivora; Otariidae. The record is from RNAcentral.